UACGGAGGUGGCUAGCGUUACUCGGAAUUACUGGGUGUAAAGGGUCCGCAGGCGACUUAGUAAGUAGAGGGUGAAAUCCUUUCGCUUAACGAAAGAAUUGCCUUCUAUACUGCUAGGUUAGAGGACAAGAUAGGAAAGCAGAACUGCCGGUGUAAGGGUGAAAUCUGUGGAUAUCGGCAGGAAUGCCAGUGGUGAAGACGGCUUUCUGGCUUGUAUCUGACGCUCAGGGACGAAAGCAUGGGGAGCGAACAGGAUUAGAUACCCCCGUA
Molecule: ribosomal RNA, 269 nt
Filed under: uncultured prokaryote
Description: partial 16S ribosomal RNA
Rfam family: Bacterial small subunit ribosomal RNA
Source: RNAcentral